AUUGAACGCUGGCGGCAGGCCUAACACAUGCAAGUCGAACGGUAACAGGAAGAAGCUUGCUUCUUUGCUGACGAGUGGCGGACGGGUGAGUAAUGUCUGGGAAACUGCCUGAUGGAGGGGGAUAACUACUGGAAACGGUAGCUAAUACCGCAUAACGUCGCAAGACCAAAGAGGGGGACCUUCGGGCCUCUUGCCAUCGGAUGUGCCCAGAUGGGAUUAGCUAGUAGGUGGGGUAACGGCUCACCUAGGCGACGAUCCCUAGCUGGUCUGAGAGGAUGACCAGCCACACUGGAACUGAGACACGGUCCAGACUCCUACGGGAGGCAGCAGUGGGGAAUAUUGCACAAUGGGCGCAAGCCUGAUGCAGCCAUGCCGCGUGUAUGAAGAAGGCCUUCGGGUUGUAAAGUACUUUCAGCGGGGAGGAAGGGAGUAAAGUUAAUACCUUUACUCAUUGACGUUACCCGCAGAAGAAGCACCGGCUAACUCCG
RNAcentral lists this ribosomal RNA (488 nucleotides) under uncultured bacterium. RNAcentral's name for it is "partial 16S ribosomal RNA". It matches the Rfam family "Bacterial small subunit ribosomal RNA", at positions 30 to 505 of the family's 1533-position model. The record is from RNAcentral.